UACAGAGGGGGCGAGCGUUAUUCGGAAUUAUUGGGCGUAAAGGGCGCGUAGGCGGCCUUUCAAGUGACGGGUGAAAUCCCUCGGCUUAACCGAGGAACUGCCUGUCAGACUGGAAGGCUUGAGACCGGGAGAGGUGAGUGGAAUUCCCAGUGUAGCGGUGAAAUGCGUAGAUAUCCGGAGGAACACCGGUGGCGAAGGCGGCUUCCUGGACCGAUUACUGACGCUGAUGCGCGAAAGCUAGGGGAGCAAACGGG
RNAcentral lists this ribosomal RNA (254 nucleotides) under uncultured bacterium. Its description in RNAcentral is "partial 16S ribosomal RNA". It matches the Rfam family "Bacterial small subunit ribosomal RNA", at positions 524 to 776 of the family's 1533-position model. The record is from RNAcentral.